GUGCUUUAUGUCUCAGGCAAUACACACAAAUCUCUCACAUGAAUUUGUUAUUUUGGCCCUCAGGGCAACUCUGUGGGAUAGGGGGAGGGUUAUUGUUGCUGUUUUACAGAUGGGGAAGCUGAGGCCCAGAGAAGUUAAGUAAGUUGUCUAAGUUCACAAAGUUACCAGAAGAUUGUGGAGUGGUCUUCCAGGGAGAGUUAUCUUGUAUCAGGAAGGAGAGAUGAUUACUUAGGAAAGCCCAAGAAACAACAGGUAUUUGAAAGCUAUAGCAGUUCAUCUGGGGUUGAUCUGGGAGCAUACAGCAAAAAAAGAGCUAAAAUGCAAGGCACCAACGUAGAAAAGCCCACCUGGUCUCUCUUCUUAGGGUGGCUCCUCUCUGUCUCUCUGCCUCUGCCUCUUGUCCUAGCCCAGCAUGGCCGCAGGUCCCAGGUUCUGUGACAUCACAGUGCAGUGCCCACAGCUCACUGUUGGUUCCUGCCAUUGAGAUUAUCUGAUUGGCCACUGGCCAGCCAAUGGUGGAUCAGACUUUGGAGCAGGUGAUCCUUGGACGCCCACAGUACAUCACCUUCAUGAGCGCAUCAGUGAACACCAGUCUAAGGAAGACAUCUCUGAACGUAAUUUUGGAGAUUUUGAUGAGUUCCAUUGAAACAAGGAGGAAUGUGAUGUCCAGUAUCAGUUCUGCAGACCCAAGGACAAAGAAAAUUCUGUGAUAAACUCAUCCAGUGUGACUGUAAUGAUACAAGACACCGGACUUUCAAAUCAACAAUUGUUUCAAAAGACUCCUACUGGAUUCCUGCUAGUGAUGGGAGAAAAUUAUCAUUCUGCUAGUUAAUCUGUAGCCAGAGAUGAUUAAGGAGGUCAUUAAAGGAAAACAAGCUGCCCACCAUGCUGAUGCCUGGUUGUUCAGAUCGUUGAGGUGGUGUAGAGAUGACGCACACUGGCUCAGUUUACCCACAUUUGGAUCUACGGACCUGCAAGUCCUCUGUCAUGACACACCAGCCCUGGGAUAUCACAUAAGCUACAGGUCAGACGCUGCUUUCCAGACAGAAUUAUGGAGAAGACAACCAUCAUUUUGGCCCUGCUGGAAAUUUUCCAUGCUCUUCAUUCGUUCUCCUGUAUUUCCUAACGCCAAUAAAAGAGGAGAUCCCUGAGGACACGCCUCUCUUUAAUAUCUGCUUUCCUUGCAAAGAUAAGCCAAAGACCAAUGUAUGUCGUAUCUGCCCCCUUCAGCCUUUGGGACACAAUUUUGAUAAACCUUCCUCUAUUUCACAUUAACAGAAAAUGUCACUUCUCC
RNAcentral lists this long non-coding RNA (1294 nucleotides) under Homo sapiens (human). Its description in RNAcentral is "HSALNT0371255". The record is from RNAcentral. Lineage: Eukaryota; Metazoa; Chordata; Mammalia; Primates; Hominidae.